GACGAACGCUGGCGGCGUGCUUAACACAUGCAAGUCGAGCGAUGAAGUUCCUUCGGGAAUGGAUUAGCGGCGGACGGGUGAGUAACACGUGGGUAACCUGCCUCAUAGAGGGGAAUAGCUUUUCGAAAGGAAGAUUAAUACCGCAUAAGAUUGUAGUAUCGCAUGAUACAGCAAUUAAAGGAGUAAUCCGCUAUGAGAUGGACCCGCGUCGCAUCAGCUAGUUGGUGAGGUAACGGCUCACCAAGGCGACGAUGCGUAGCCGACCUGAGAGGGUGCGCGGCCACAUUGGGCCUGGGACGCGGCCCAGAGUCCUACGGGAGGCAGCAGUGGGGAAUAUUGCACAGUGGGGGAAACCCUGAUGCAGCACCGCCGCGUGAGUGAUGACGGUCUUCGGAUUGUAAAACUCUGUCUUCAGGGACGAUAAUGACGGUACCUGAGGAGGAAGCCACGGCUAACUACGUGCCAGCAGCCGCCGUAA
RNAcentral lists this ribosomal RNA (478 nucleotides) under uncultured bacterium. Its description in RNAcentral is "partial 16S ribosomal RNA". It matches the Rfam family "Bacterial small subunit ribosomal RNA", at positions 28 to 523 of the family's 1533-position model. The record is from RNAcentral.